AAUGGCUCAUUAAAUCAGUUAUCGUUUAUUUGAUAGUACCUUACUACUUGGAUAACCGUGGUAAUUCUAGAGCUAAUACAUGCUAAAAACCCCGACUUCGGAAGGGGUGUAUUUAUUAGAUAAAAAACCAAUGCCCUUCGGGGCUCCUUGGUGAUUCAUAAUAACUUAACGAAUCGCAUGGCCUUGUGCCGGCGAUGGUUCAUUCAAAUUCUGCCCUAUCAACUUUCGAUGGUAGGAUAGUGGCCUACCAUGGUUUCAACGGGUAACGGGGA
This 272-nucleotide ribosomal RNA is filed under the name uncultured fungus. RNAcentral describes it as "partial 18S ribosomal RNA". It matches the Rfam family "Eukaryotic small subunit ribosomal RNA", at positions 92 to 368 of the family's 1831-position model. Lineage: Eukaryota; Fungi. The record is from RNAcentral.